UAAGAAACUUCCUGCUGCAGGCCAUUGGAAACUUUGAGUGUAAGUGAGGGGAAUAGUUAACUGGGUUAAAAGUUAACCUUGGCAUACUAAACAUGGUUAAUGAAGGGUAAUACAUUACAAGAAUAACUUUUAAACCCCCCAUUACCCUCAAAACAAAUGCACCCUAAUAAGCAAAUAAUUCAAGAAGCACCUCAAAUACAAACAUGAACAAAUUUACAUAUCUGGCUAACAGAGAGACAUUUCUCAUUGAUUCUGAUCCACAAAACAAGAUAAAUUCAUAACUAUCGCAGUGCUAGACUUCCUAUUUUGGAUG
This 313-nucleotide unclassified non-coding RNA is filed under the name Hevea brasiliensis (rubber tree). The record is from RNAcentral. Lineage: Eukaryota; Viridiplantae; Streptophyta; Magnoliopsida; Malpighiales; Euphorbiaceae.